CUUUUGUCCCAUAGUAAACAGAAAAAAACAGAAGCUGCUUUUGUCUGGCAGUGCUGGUCUUCACCCAUGUAGUCCAUUAUCCAAGAAACACUCUUCACAUAUCUUCUUGCUCUCUGGAUGUUUACAGAUUCCCAACUCCAAACUCCUCUUUUAUGCUUUCAUGUUGCUUGUUAGAUGCACACUGAAUCAUAUUUUUAUAGAAUCAAGAAUCCGGAAUGGUCAUUUCAGACGCAGAGAAAA
Long non-coding RNA from Populus euphratica (Euphrates poplar), 240 nucleotides. RefSeq lists it as uncharacterized. NCBI's taxonomy places the organism in Eukaryota, Viridiplantae, Streptophyta, Magnoliopsida, Malpighiales, Salicaceae. The transcript is spliced from 2 exons. The record is from RefSeq and is a predicted model, not a curated record.